GAUGAAGAACGUAGCGAAAUGCGAUACUUGGUGUGAAUUGCAGAAUCCCGUGAACCAUCGAGUUUUUGAACGCAAGUUGCGCCCGAAGCCUUUUGGCCGAGGGCACGUCUGCCUGGGCGUCACGCAUCGCGUCGCCCCCCACAAUUCUCCGUAAAGGGAACAUGUGUUUUGGGGGCGGAUAUUGGUCUCCCGUGCUCAUGGCGUGGUUGGCCGAAAUAGGAGUCCUUUCGAUGGACGCACGAACUAGUGGUGGUCGUAAAAACCCUCGUCUUUUGUUUCGUGCUGUUGCUCGCAAGGUAAACUCUUUAAAAACCCCAAUGUGUCGUCUCUUGAUGACGCUUCGACCGCGACCCCAGGUCAGGCGGGACUACCCGCUGAGUUUAAGCAUAUCAAUAAGCGGAGGA
Molecule: unclassified non-coding RNA, 404 nt
Filed under: soil metagenome
Description: partial contains 5.8S ribosomal RNA, internal transcribed spacer 2, and large subunit ribosomal RNA
Rfam family: 5.8S ribosomal RNA (bases 1-122)
Source: RNAcentral